RNAcentral lists this ribosomal RNA (140 nucleotides) under uncultured bacterium. RNAcentral's name for it is "partial 16S ribosomal RNA". The record is from RNAcentral.
CACGUAGUUAGCCGGCGCUUCUUCUGCAGGUACCGUCACUUUCGCUUCUUCCCUACUGAAAGAGGUUUACAACCCGAAGGCCAUCAUCCCUCACGCGGCGUCGCUGCAUCAGGCUUUCGCCCAUUGUGCAAUAUUCCCCA